UGCUCGGUACGCGACUGGCGAUAGGCGGCGUCCUGAUGCAUCAGGACGUGCUGCUGAAGUGGGCACACCACGGGGGAGCGUACCGCAAGACCUGUCACGGUUUUGUGAUCAGCCGUUCGCCUGGGCACCUUAA
This 133-nucleotide non-coding RNA is filed under the name Comamonadaceae bacterium. RNAcentral describes it as "ZTP sequence". It matches the Rfam family "ZMP/ZTP riboswitch aptamer (pfl RNA motif)". Rfam says of the family: Previously known as pfl RNA. Lineage: Bacteria; Pseudomonadati; Pseudomonadota; Betaproteobacteria; Burkholderiales; Comamonadaceae. The record is from RNAcentral.